AGAUGUUGGGUUAAGUCCCGCAACGAGCGCAACCCCUAUUUCCAGUAGCCAGCAGGUAGAGCUGGGCACUCUGGAGAGACUGCCCGGGAUAACCGGGAGGAAGGCGGGGAUGACGUCAAAUCAUCAUGCCCCUUAUGAUCAGGGCUACACACGUGCUACAAUGGCGUAAACAAAGGGAAGCGAGACGGUGACGCCAAGCAAAUCCCAAAAAUAACGUCCCAGUUCGGAUUGUAGUCUGCAACUCGACUACAUGAAGCUGGAAUCGCUAGUAAUCGCGAAUCAGAAUGUCGCGGUGAAUACGUUCCCGGGUCUUGUACACACCGCCCGUCACACCAUGGGAGUCGGAAAUGCCCGAAGUCAGUGACCUAACCGAAAGGAAGGAGCUGCCGAAGGUGGAGCCGGUAACUGGGGUGAAGUCGUAACAAGGUAACCGU
Molecule: ribosomal RNA, 434 nt
Filed under: uncultured bacterium
Lineage: Bacteria
Description: bacterial SSU rRNA
Rfam family: Bacterial small subunit ribosomal RNA
Source: RNAcentral